GAUGAACGCUGGCGGCGUGCCUAAUACAUGCAAGUCGAGCGAACGGACGCGAAGCUUGCUUCUCUGAUGUUAGCGGCGGACGGGUGAGUAACACGUGGAUAACCUCCCUAUCAGACUGGGAUAACUUCGGGAAACCGGAGCUAAUACCGGAUAAUAUUUUGAACCGCAUGGUUCAAAAGUGAAAGACGGUCUUGCUGUCACUUCUAGAUGGUUCCGCGCUGCAUUAGCUAGUUGGUAAGGUAACGGCUUACCAAGGCAACGAUGCAUAGCCGACCUGAGAGGGUGAUCGGCCACACGGGAGCGGAGACACGGUCCAGACUCCUACGGGAGGCAGCAGUAGGGAAUCUUCCGCAAUGGGCGAAAGCCUGACGGAGCAACGCCGCGUGAGUGAUGAAGGUCUUCGGAUCGUAAAACUCUGUUAUUAGGGAAGAACAUAUGUGUAAGUAACUGUGCACAUCUUGACGGUACCUAAUCAGAAAGCCACGGCUAACUACGUG
RNAcentral lists this ribosomal RNA (497 nucleotides) under uncultured bacterium. RNAcentral's name for it is "partial 16S ribosomal RNA". It matches the Rfam family "Bacterial small subunit ribosomal RNA", at positions 28 to 507 of the family's 1533-position model. The record is from RNAcentral.